This 54-nucleotide transfer RNA is filed under the name Mansonella perstans. Its description in RNAcentral is "tRNA-Ser". Lineage: Eukaryota; Metazoa; Nematoda; Chromadorea; Rhabditida; Onchocercidae. The record is from RNAcentral.
GAGUUAUUUUUUUUAGUUUUGAAAACUGAUUUUGAACGGAUUGUUCUUAACUUU